Molecule: non-coding RNA, 175 nt
Organism: Maylandia zebra (zebra mbuna)
Lineage: Eukaryota; Metazoa; Chordata; Actinopteri; Cichliformes; Cichlidae
Source: RefSeq, a predicted model, not a curated record
GAAAGUUUACUUUCACUUCCUGAACUUCGUGGAGUGGCGCUUGUUGUUGGUGUGUGAAGAAACUCUCCUUAGAUCACAUGACCUGGAUGACUGAACCUACAGACAUAUUGACCUGGUUUCUAGGUCACAUGACAGACUGACUGAAGAUGAUGAUGGAGGAAGAGGAGGACAGAGC